RNAcentral lists this ribosomal RNA (497 nucleotides) under uncultured bacterium. RNAcentral's name for it is "partial 16S ribosomal RNA". It matches the Rfam family "Bacterial small subunit ribosomal RNA", at positions 28 to 507 of the family's 1533-position model. The record is from RNAcentral.
GAUGAACGCUGGCGGCGUGCCUAAUACAUGCAAGUCGAGCGAACAGACGAGGAGCUUGCUCCUUUGACGUUAGCGGCGGACGGGUGAGUAACACGUGGAUAACCUACCUAUAAGACUGGGAUAACUUCGGGAAACCGGAGCUAAUACCGGAUAACAUGUUGAACCGCAUGGUUCAACAGUGAAAGACGGUCUUGCUGUCACUUAUAGAUGGAUCCGCGCCGCAUUAGCUAGUUGGUAAGGUAACGGCUUACCAAGGCAACGAUGCGUAGCCGACCUGAGAGGGUGAUCGGCCACACUGGAACGGAGACACGGUCCAGACUCCUACGGGAGGCAGCAGUAGGGAAUCUUCCGCAAUGGGGGAAAGCCUGACGGAGCAACGCCGCGUGAGUGAAGAAGGUCUUCGGAUCGUAAAACUCUGUUAUUAGGGAAGAACAAAUGUGUAAGUAACUAUGCACGUCUUGACGGUACCUAAUCAGAAAGCCACGGCUAACUACGUG